CGGGGCCGCCCCUCGCCGGAAGCGAGCGCCCGUGCGCGACCGUUGCGGGCGGGCGGCGGGGGGAUGUCGGCCGCGUGCGCCGUGUCCCGCAAAGCGCAGCCGGCGCUGCCGCCGCCGCCGCCCCGGGGCGAGAGGGACCCGCCCGCCAAGGCCAUGCGCAGGGGGCUGCGGCGGGGCCACGAGGAGGAGCGCGAGCAGCUGUCGUGGCCGGCGGAGGGCACGGGCGGCGGGGGCGGCGAGCGGCAGGCCGAGCGGGCGGCCGAGCGCGGCGACGAGCGGCGGCGGCGGCAGCCGCACGAGCCCAGGGCGCUGGCGGCGGCGGCGGCGGCGGCCCGGGCGGAGGAGGAGGCGGAGGAGGAGCGCAUGGAGCGGGAGCACUUCCGCAGGAUCAUCAACGCCUUCCGAUACUACGGAACGAAUAUGCAUGAACGAGUGAACAGAACAGAGAGGCAGUUUAAAUCUCUCCCAGCUAACCAACAGUGUCUUCUUCCUCAAUUCCUUCCUCACCUUGACAAGAUUCGGAAGUGCAUCGAUCAUAAUCAAGAAAUACUACAUACCAUUGUGAAUGACUGCGUACAUAUGUUUGAAAAUAAAGAAUAUGGAGAAGACGGAAGAGGGAAGAUUACGCCAGCUUCAACGUUUGACAUGGAUAAAUUGAAAUCCACCUUGAAACAAUUUGUGAGAGACUGGAGUGAAGAGGGAAAGCCUGAGAGAGAUUCCUGCUACCAGCCAAUCAUUAGUGAAAUUGUAAAGAACUUUCCAAAAGAAAGAUGGGAUUUCUCCAAAGUCAAUAUCCUGGUGCCUGGUGCUGGGCUAGGUAGAUUGGCAUGGGAAAUAGCUAUGCUUGGUUAUGCUUGCCAAGGAAACGAAUGGAGCCUCUUUAUGCUCUUUUCUUCUAACUUUGUACUCAACAGAUGUUCUGAAGUUAACUCAUGUAAGCUUUAUCCCUGGAUUCAUCAGUUUAGCAAUAACAGAAGAUCUGCUGAUCAGAUACGUCCAAUUUAUUUCCCUGAUGUUGAUCCUCACAGUCUUCCUUCUGGUUCAAACUUCUCUAUGACGGCAGGGGAUUUUCAAGAAAUUUACUCUGAGUGCAAUACUUGGGACUGCAUAGCAACUUGCUUUUUCAUCGAUACGGCACAUAAUGUUAUCGAUUAUAUUGAUACCAUAUGGAAAAUACUAAAGCCUGGAGGAAUAUGGAUAAAUGUCCUUUACUUUACCACUUUGAAAACUUGGCAAAUGAGCUUUCUAUAGAAUUAAGCUACGAGGAUAUAAAAAAUGUUAUACUGCAGUAUGGAUUCCAUAUAGAGGUGGAAAAAGAAUCUGUACUGUCAACUUACACUGUGAAUGAACUCUCCAUGAUGAAAUACUACUAUGAAUGUGUGUUGUUUGUGGUGAGAAAACCAGAAUAGGAGUGGUUUGAAUAGGUUAGUCAGAAGAAAAAAUGUUGGCUUGAAUGCUAGAAUCAAAAGUAAAAUGGACUGAGUGAUGUGAUGUCUGGACACAACCUCAAAUCAGUGGUGCCUUCUUAUUCCUAAUAAGAUUUAGAUAGUGUCUAUUUUCUUAAUAUCUAUGUUGCUAUCCAGACGUGUACUAUGCCAUGCAUAUUUGUACUAUAGUGAAAAUCGAGGAGGAAAUGUUUGCAUACACUGUCUUUAUGCUUUGGAAUGAAUUUAAAAACAAAAAUGUUUUCUUGGGUAUAAAACUUAAUGUUAACCAGAAUCAGGCUAGUUUUCCACAUAUACUGCCUCAUUUUUCUCAGAUCCAUAGUGAUCUCCUUUUUUCUCUGCUUGGCGGUACUUAAUAUACUUUCUGUGUCAUGUUUAGAAGAGCAUUUUUAAACAUACAUUUAAAAUUACAAAAUCUGAAAUGGUUGAAAAGUGAUAAUACGAUCCUGGACAGAUAUAAUACCCAUCAGAACUGUUACAGUGUUCUCUGUGGAUCCAAAAAUAGGAAGGAAGUAGAUUAUUGUUAAAAAUUCUAAUUUUUGCCUGUACCAGUGUUAACAGUUUUAUCGACACACAGAAUCGGUAGGCAGUUUGAAAUACUCUGUGAAAGCAGAGAACAGAGUGAAGAAGAGCAGCAUGUAACAGGAAGCAGUAUACUAACCUCAGUUCAGGAAUAAACCAGUUCUGAUUAGUCCCUUAGUGUUGAAAUUGAAAUUUUGGAUGCUUUGCAGUCUUAAAAUAUAUUGUUUUUUGAGUCACACACUUCCUGCUUAAGCCAAAGUUUUAAAGGUGUAACUAACAGAAAGCUCUUCUCUUUCUUAAUAACAAAGCUGAGUUAUCCAUGCCAUAUACCUGUAUUGUGACAGAAAGAAAUCCUUCUUUCUCAAAGGAAAAAAAAAAAAAAAAAAAGUUACAUGUGAAAAAUAAUGUACUGUAACCUCAUGGCUUCAUUUUCUGAGUCAGCAUAUGCAGGAUGAUUGGCAGAAUUUCAUUGUAGCUUUAGGCACUUUACCCAUGCUACUCUGGCUUACUUCUUGGUUCCUUAUCCUAACUUUUUUCCUGGCUAACGAGGCUUCGUUGGAUAUUUAUCCUGGCUGAAUCUUCAUACAAGAGAAGCUGAAUCUUCUGUCGCUCAAGUUAUAUAAAUGAGAAAACGUUAAUAAUUACUGUACUGAGAGGAAGUGUCAUGGUAGCCAUUUGUUUUCUUAAUGUAUUGGUUAAUUUCAGUACCAACCUUCAUCCUUACUCAGAACUUUCUUUAAAAUGUAAGAAGCUUGUGGUAAGGAAUCAAUGCUGUUUUUAGUAUUUGGACAUAAUGGCACUGGACAAUAACUUGUUUAAAUGCUUUCCCUUAUUUCUAGUCCCUUUUUGCAGGAUGAUGUCAUAAUCACUUAAAUAGUUCCAUUAGUAACUAAUGGAUUUUUCCUGUUAAGGCCGGACAUUUGUGCCUUCAUAUCUAACCCGAAAGUUUGCAUGGAGGAAAACACAACUUUUUUUUAUAUAUAUAUAUAAUUUCAACACUGCAUAUGAAAGAGAGUAAGCGUGGACGUUCCAAUACUAUGCCUCUUUCUGCUCAGAAUCCUUACUGAGAGCAAAGGCUUCUGGACUACAGAAGUUUUCCGUUAGAGCUUUACUUAAACUUGAACUCUCUCUUCUUCCUACGCUGUACCACCAAGAUUUAACUCCAUUAAUCAACCCCGCUCCAAGAACAAUGUUGAAAGCUGAAACACAGCUAUUACAAGUAGAUUAAAAGGAAAACCCUUGAGCACCUUUAAAAGAAAGAAAGAAAAAGUCUUCAGUUACUUUCAUUUUCUUAUUGUACUAUUUACUCUGUUUAAUGAAUGGACUUCAAUUUCUGGUGAUGCUUUACCUUCAUUUUGACUUUUUUCCCCUUAUAUAAAAUGUGAUUAGUAUUUUAUUUGGGUUUACUUGAAUAAGUUCUUUGAAGUCAGGCAAAGUUAGAUGAAUGUUGAUUAUGCAGUUGUUGAGUAGCUACACCUGUAAUAUUGCCCAAUUUCUGCCUCUUAACCAGUCUUUAGUUACACUUGGAGUGUGGUGUUUUUUACAACUAAGCAAUUGAACUCUUGCGUUCUGGCUGAAUGUCGGUAUCCUUUGUUCUGUUGGUUUUGUUCUUUGCAACAGUACAUUGUCACAAGUGCCAUUUUUUCAUUGUUCUAGGAAAUGUUUUUAUUUACUUUUAUCAUGUAUAUAGUGAUGUGCUUCUACUUCUCGUGUGGAAAAUGCCAAUUUUCCCACAUUUUUUCCUUCCAUGUAUAACAGCUGCAUUAACAGUUGGAAGCCGAAUAAUGUUGUGAAUAAGUUGUAUGAGUUAGUGUUUUACCUGCGGUCCUAUUUAUGAGUUCUUACAAUUCAUCAUUUGUGUUUUUAUCGAUGGGGAUAAUUGUAUGUUAUUCAAUGUGAUCAGACUCUUCCUCAGUUGUGUACGCAGGGGGAAAAAAACGCUUAAGCUGUCUGUCAGCAGAAGCCGAGACAAUUUCGGUCACUAUUAAACUGUAUGUGGUAUUGAGUGUAAAAUAAAACGCUGCAUAACCUUCA
Molecule: RNA transcript, 4001 nt
Organism: Oxyura jamaicensis (ruddy duck)
Lineage: Eukaryota; Metazoa; Chordata; Aves; Anseriformes; Anatidae
Gene: CARNMT1
Gene name: carnosine N-methyltransferase 1
Exons: 9
Source: RefSeq, a predicted model, not a curated record